AGUGAACGCUGGCGGUAGGCCUAACACAUGCAAGUCGAACGGCAGCACAGUAAGAGCUUGCUCUUACGGGUGGCGAGUGGCGGACGGGUGAGGAAUACAUCGGAAUCUACUUUUUCGUGGGGUAUAACGUAGGGAAACUUACGCUAAUACCGCAUACGACCUACGGGUGAAAGCAGGGGAUCUUCGGACCUUGCGCGAUUGAAUGAGCCGAUGUCGGAUUAGCUAGUUGGCGGGGUAAAGGCCCACCAAGUCGACGAUCCGUAGCUGGUCUGAGAGGAUGAGAAGCCAAACGGGAAAUGAGACACGGUCCAGACGCCUACGGGAGGCAGCAGUGGGGAAAAUUGGACAAUGGGGGCAAGCCUGAUCAAGCCAUACCGCGUGGGUGAAGAAGGCCUUCGGGUUGUAAAGCCCUUUUGUUGGGAAAGAAAAGCAGCAGGUUAAUACCCCGCUGUUCUGACGGUACCCAAAGAAUAAGCACCGGCUAACUUCGU
RNAcentral lists this ribosomal RNA (491 nucleotides) under uncultured bacterium. RNAcentral describes it as "partial 16S ribosomal RNA". It matches the Rfam family "Bacterial small subunit ribosomal RNA", at positions 29 to 506 of the family's 1533-position model. The record is from RNAcentral.